AACGAACGCUGGCGGCGCGCCUAAUACAUGCAAGUCGAACGAGAAGGUGUAGCAAUACACUUGUACAGUGGCGAACGGGUGAGGAAUGCAUGGGCAACCUACCCUCGAGUGGGGAAUAACCAGCCGAAAGGUUGGCUAAUACCGCGUACGCUUCCGGGUCUCCGGAUCCGGAAGGAAAGUCACACCGUGGGUGUGACGCUCAAGGAUGGGCUCAUGUCCUAUCAGCUUGUUGGGAGGUAACGGCUCACCAAGGCAACGACGGGUAGCUGGUCUGAGAGGACGAUCAGCCACACUGGCACUGCGACACGGGCCAGACUCCUACGGGAGGCAGCAGUAAGGAAUAUUGCGCAAUGGGCAAAGCCUGACGCAGCGACGCCGCGUGGGGGAUGAAGGUCUUCGGAUUGUAAACCCCUUU
RNAcentral lists this ribosomal RNA (415 nucleotides) under uncultured bacterium. RNAcentral's name for it is "bacterial SSU rRNA". It matches the Rfam family "Bacterial small subunit ribosomal RNA", at positions 29 to 436 of the family's 1533-position model. The record is from RNAcentral.